GUCAUUCUGUAUCUUUAAAGGCAUUACUUUUUUGUGUUUUCACAAAUAGUCAGUGGUGGCUGGUGAUUCAAUUUGUGGAUGAGGCGCAGAUUCUGGGGGCCUCCCCAACAAAAUUUUGAAGUUGGUAGAUGUGAUUUCCUGCAUUCUGGUGUAUUUUGGGGAUUGCCAUAACCCCAAAAAUCAUUCAGAUUUCAUAGUCUACAUCCUGACUUGCAUGGCUUUGGCAAGCUUGCACUGCAUAUACAGGCCUACUUUAUGGCUUUAUACUUUAUUGGUGUUAUUCUGAUAUUUAGGCAAACCUUGAUCAUUGUGCGAUAGCCUCAAUUUUUUGCAAGUCUCAAGGUCUAUUUAAUAUGCAGUUAGAAAAUCUUGGACAGUUUCUUCAUUUUGUUCAUAUGCAAUAGGCUGAGAGAAUAGAUUAAUGUGUAACUUAAAUCCUUUUAAGUAUAACAUUGCUUGGGGAGUCCCAAUUCCUCCACUGGGAAGGGGGGUGGCUAUCUAUCUCUUCUCUGCAAGUAGUUGAAAAACAAUGCCAUUGUUCUAGGCGCACAGAGGUGCGAACUAAAAACGCCAAUGAAAAGCUGUCUCUGCUUGAAAGACGGCAAAAAGAUUGCCAGCUCACAUAGACUUCAUGGUUACCGGUGCCCCUGCCGUGAAGCAGGGCUUUCUCUCAAAUGACAAAUAAGAAGCCUGUCCCAAAGAAUUGACAUUCAGACGGAUUUAAAUGGUUGCUGGCAGUGGCAAGAACGGUCUAUCACACACUUAAAUGAGGAUAAACGCUAUGUAUUUUUGUUGAUUUAUUUC
Long non-coding RNA from Gadus macrocephalus (Pacific cod), 804 nucleotides. RefSeq lists it as uncharacterized. The transcript has 2 exons. The record is from RefSeq and is a predicted model, not a curated record. Lineage: Eukaryota; Metazoa; Chordata; Actinopteri; Gadiformes; Gadidae.